AAAAGUGCGUAGUUGAGGUGUACCGAUAUACCUUCAUUGCAACGGCGUAAAAUAACGACCAAUAAAAUUUGUGCAGGCGUGGGCUGGCACACAUUAUACGGCAGAGGUGAGGAUGCAGAUAUUCUUCAUGCUCAGCUCAUAAAA
Molecule: non-coding RNA, 144 nt
Organism: Caenorhabditis elegans
Lineage: Eukaryota; Metazoa; Nematoda; Chromadorea; Rhabditida; Rhabditidae
Source: Ensembl